UUUCCGUAGGUGAACCUGCGGAAGGAUCAUUAACGAAUUUCGAGGGGAAGGAAGAUGAGGAGUGGAGACUGUCGCUGUCUUUCCCGCGUGGGAAGCAUGUUCACGCCUUGCUUUUCGUUGACCUUUCUCGUACUCUCACACCUGUGCACCCAUUGUAGGUCCUCGAAAGAGGAUCUAUGUUUUUAGCAUCACACGCAUCGUAUGUCCAUAGAAUGUAACAUGAUCGUCGAUCGACCUCGCGGUCGGGUGGCGGUCUAAAGAAAUAAAUACAACUUUCAGCAACGGAUCUCUUGGUUCUC
RNAcentral lists this unclassified non-coding RNA (299 nucleotides) under plant metagenome. Its description in RNAcentral is "partial contains small subunit ribosomal RNA, internal transcribed spacer 1, and 5.8S ribosomal RNA". The record is from RNAcentral.